GAUGAACGCUGGCGGCGCGCCUAACACAUGCAAGUCGAACGGUUAAAGCACCUUCGGGUGUGUAUAAAGUGGCGAACGGCUGAGUAACACGUGGGCAACCUGCCUCUCACUCCGGGAUAGCCUCGAGAAAUCGUGGGUAAUACCGGAUACUCCAGGAUCUCCGCAUGGCGUUCCUGGGAAAGCCCCGACGGUGAGAGAUGGGCCCGCGGCCUGUUAGCUUGUUGGUGAGGUAACGGCCCACCAAGGCUAUUAUGGGUAGCUGGGUUGAGAGACCGACCAGCCAGAUUGGGACUGAGACACGGCCCAGACUCC
Molecule: ribosomal RNA, 312 nt
Filed under: uncultured Atopobium sp.
Lineage: Bacteria; Bacillati; Actinomycetota; Coriobacteriia; Coriobacteriales; Atopobiaceae
Description: bacterial SSU rRNA
Rfam family: Bacterial small subunit ribosomal RNA
Source: RNAcentral